Molecule: ribosomal RNA, 539 nt
Filed under: Salmonella enterica subsp. enterica serovar Enteritidis
Lineage: Bacteria; Pseudomonadati; Pseudomonadota; Gammaproteobacteria; Enterobacterales; Enterobacteriaceae
Description: partial 23S ribosomal RNA
Rfam family: Bacterial large subunit ribosomal RNA
Source: RNAcentral
GGGAAACCGAGUCUUAAUUGGGCGUUAAGUUGCAGGGUAUAGACCCGAAACCCGGUGAUCUAGCCAUGGGCAGGUUGAAGGUUGGGUAACACUAACUGGAGGACCGAACCGACUAAUGUUGAAAAAUUAGCGGAUGACCUGUGGCUGGGGGUGAAAGGCCAAUCAAACCGGGAGAUAGCUGGUUCUCCCCGAAAGCUAUUUAGGUAGCGCCUCGUGAAUUCAUCUCCGGGGGUAGAGCACUGUUUCGGCUAGGGGGCCAUCCCGGCUUACCAACCCGAUGCAAACUGCGAAUACCGGAGAAUGUUAUCACGGGAGACACACGGCGGGUGCUAACGUCCGUCGUGAAGAGGGAAACAACCCAGACCGCCAGCUAAGGUCCCAAAGUCAUGGUUAAGUGGGAAACGAUGUGGGAAGGCCCAGACAGCCAGGAUGUUGGCUUAGAAGCAGCCAUCAUUUAAAGAAAGCGUAAUAGCUCACUGGUCGAGUCGGCCUGCGCGGAAGAUGUAACGGGGCUAAACCAUGCACCGAAGCUGCGGCAG